RNAcentral lists this unclassified non-coding RNA (344 nucleotides) under soil metagenome. Its description in RNAcentral is "partial contains 5.8S ribosomal RNA, internal transcribed spacer 2, and large subunit ribosomal RNA". The stretch from base 4 to 121 matches the Rfam family "5.8S ribosomal RNA", at positions 37 to 154 of the family's 154-position model. The record is from RNAcentral.
GAUUGAAGAACGUAGCGAAAUGCGAUAAGUAAUGUGAAUUGCAGAAUUCAGUGAAUCAUCGAAUCUUUGAACGCACAUUUCGCCCGCCAGCAUUCUGGCGGGCAUGCCUGUUCGAGCGUCAUUUCAACCCUCGAGCCCCCCCGGGGGCCUCGGUGUUGGGGGACGGCACACCAGCCGCCCCCGAAAUGCAGUGGCGACCCCGCCGCAGCCUCCCCUGCGUAGUAGCACACACCUCGCACCGGAGCGCGGAGGCGGUCACGCCGUAAAACGCCCAACUUUCUUAGAGUUGACCUCGGAUCAGGUAGGAAUACCCGCUGAACUUAAGCAUAUCAAUAAGCGGAGGA